RNAcentral lists this ribosomal RNA (323 nucleotides) under uncultured bacterium. RNAcentral describes it as "bacterial SSU rRNA". It matches the Rfam family "Bacterial small subunit ribosomal RNA", at positions 28 to 334 of the family's 1533-position model. The record is from RNAcentral.
GAUGAACGCUGGCGGCGUGCUUAACACAUGCAAGUCGAACGGAACUGUUUGGAUGAAGUUUUCGGAUGGAUUUUAAACAGUUUAGUGGCGGACGGGUGAGUAACGCGUGGGUAACCUGCCUCACACUGGGGGAUAACAGUUGGAAACGGCUGCUAAUACCGCAUAAGCGCACAGUGGGACAUCCCACAGUGUGAAAAACUCCGGUGGUACAGGAUGGGCCCGCGUCUGAUUAGCUGGUUGGCAGGGUAACGGCCUACCAAGGCAACGAUCAGUAGCCGGUCUGAGAGGAUGAACGGCCACAUUGGAACUGAGACACGGUCCAA